RNAcentral lists this ribosomal RNA (433 nucleotides) under uncultured bacterium. RNAcentral's name for it is "bacterial SSU rRNA". It matches the Rfam family "Bacterial small subunit ribosomal RNA", at positions 29 to 506 of the family's 1533-position model. The record is from RNAcentral.
GCGAACGCUGGCGGAAUGCUUAACACAUGCAAGUCGCACGGCUCUUUCGGGGGCAGUGGCGGACGGGUGAGUAACGCGUAGGAACGUGUCCUGGACUGGGGGAUAACGCUGGGAAACUGGCGCUAAUACCGCAUGUCUCCUGAGGGAGAAAGCCGCGAGGCGGUUUGGGAGCGGCCUGCGUCCGAUUAGCUUGUUGGUUAGGUAAUGGCUGACCAAGGCGAUGAUCGGUAGCUGGUCUGAGAGGAUGAUCAGCCACACUGGGACUGAGACACGGCCCAGACUCCUACGGGAGGCAGCAGUGGGGAAUAUUGGACAAUGGGCGCAAGCCUGAUCCAGCAAUUCCGCGUGGGUGAAGAAGGUCUUCGGAUUGUAAAGCCCUUUCGGCGGGGACGAUGAUGACGGUACCCGCAGAAGAAGCCCCGGCUAACUUCGU